GACGAACGCUGGCGGCGUGCCUAACACAUGCAAGUCGAGCGAAGUUUUCUAGAUGAAAUUUUCGGAUGGAUUCUAGAAUUAUCUUAGCGGCGAACGGGUGAGUAACGCGUGAGAAACCUGCCUUUCACAAUGGGAUAGCCUCUGGAAACGGGGAUUAAUACCGUAUGACAUUAUUUUUUCGCAUGAGAGAAUAAUUAAAGCGUAAAGCGGUGAAAGAUGGUCUCGCGUCCUAUUAGUUAGUUGGUGAGGUAACGGCUCACCAAGACUCCGAUAGGUAGCCGGCCUGAGAGGGUGAACGGCCACACUGGAACUGAGACACGGUCCAGACUCCUACGGGAGGCAGCAGUGGGGAAUAUUGCACAAUGGAGGAAACUCUGAUGCAGCGACGCCGCGUGAAUGAUGAAGGCCUUCGGGUCGUAAAAUUCUGUCCUUGGGGAAGAUAAUGACGGUACCCAAGGAGGAAGCCCCGGCUAACUACGUG
Molecule: ribosomal RNA, 481 nt
Filed under: uncultured bacterium
Lineage: Bacteria
Description: bacterial SSU rRNA
Rfam family: Bacterial small subunit ribosomal RNA
Source: RNAcentral